GCUCGUAGUUGGAUCUCGGCGGGUAGAGGGCGGUUUGCUUCGUAGCAUUACUGCCCUAUUACCCGUAGUUUUUGCCAGAGGUUCCUGGGUGCUCUUAAUCGAGUGUCUAGGGAUGCUGGCAGGUUUACUUUGAAAAAAUUAGAGUGCUCAAAGCAGGCUAUUACGCUUGAAUAUUCGUGCAUGGAAUAAUAGAAUAGGAAGUUGUUUCUAUUUUGUUGGUUUUCGGAAAUCGACUUAAUGAUUAAUAGGGACAGUCGGGGGCAUUUGUAUUCAAACGACAGAGGUGAAAUUCUUGGACCGUUUGAAGACAAACUACUGCGAAAGCAUUUGCCAAGAAUGCUUUCAUUAAUCAAGAACGAAAGUUAGAGGUUCGAAGGCGACUAGAUACCGCCCUAGUUCUAACCAUAAACGAUGCCAGCUAGCGAUCUGAGGACGUUUUUUUUGUAGACUCCUCAGGAAGCUUCCGGGAAACCAAAGCGUGUGGGUUCCGGGGGAAGUAUGGUUGCAAAGCUGAAACUUAAAGGAAUUGACGGAAGGGCACCACCAGGAGUGGAGCCUGCGGCUUAAUUUGACUCAACACGGGAAAUCUCACCAGGCCCGGACACUGGAAGGAUUGACAGAUUGAGAGCUCUUUCUCGAUUCGGUGGGUGGUGGUGCAUGGCCGUUCUUAGUUGGUGGAGUGAUUUGUCUGGUUAAUUCCGAUAACGAACGAGACUCUGUCCUGCUAAAUAGUGUCGGCCUCUCUUUUGGGCCGACAAUUCUUCUUAGAGGGACUGGCAGCUCCUAGCUGCACGAGAUAGAGCAAUAACAGGUCUGUGAUGCCCUUAGAUGUUCUGGGCAGCACGCGCGCUACACUGAAUAGAUCAGCGUGUUCUCCCUUUCUGAGAAGAACGGGUAAACCGCUGAACCCUAUUCGUGGUA
RNAcentral lists this ribosomal RNA (921 nucleotides) under uncultured opisthokont. RNAcentral describes it as "SSU rRNA". It matches the Rfam family "Eukaryotic small subunit ribosomal RNA", at positions 626 to 1572 of the family's 1831-position model. The record is from RNAcentral.